This 63-nucleotide transfer RNA is filed under the name Rattus norvegicus (Norway rat). It matches the Rfam family "tRNA". Rfam says of the family: Transfer RNA (tRNA) molecules are approximately 80 nucleotides in length. The record is from Rfam by way of RNAcentral. Lineage: Eukaryota; Metazoa; Chordata; Mammalia; Rodentia; Muridae.
GGGGAUUUGGCUCAGUGUUAGAGCACUUGCCUAGCAAGCGCAAGGCCCUGGGUUCAGUCCCCA